RNA transcript from Rhopalosiphum padi (bird cherry-oat aphid), 1152 nucleotides. It is a transcript of the gene named farnesol dehydrogenase-like, with no coding region annotated. NCBI's taxonomy places the organism in Eukaryota, Metazoa, Arthropoda, Insecta, Hemiptera, Aphididae. The transcript has 8 exons. The record is from RefSeq and is a predicted model, not a curated record.
AAUGAUGUUUCAGUCGUAAUUUAGUCGCCGAAAAGCACUGCUGUAGUUUUUAUAGCUAAAAAAUAUAAUUUAUCACGAAAAUGGAAAAGUGGAAUGGAAAAGUUGCUGUAGUAACGGGUGCUUCUUCUGGAAUCGGAGAAGAAACUUGUCGACAACUGGUUGAAAAAGGAAUGAUUGUUGUUGGUUUUGCUAGAAGAGAAGAUAAACUUAAGGAGUUAGAAAAGGAUUUAAAAGGAAAAUUGGGUAAAUUUUUUUACGUUAAAGUUGAUUUGUGUUCGGAAAAAAACAUUUUGGAAGCUUUUAGUUGGGUAAAAAGAACAUUGAAAUCGGUUGAUGUACUAAUUAACAAUGCAGGUGUUUUGAAAAACAGUGAUUUAUUAGCAAAUACAAAUGAUUGGAAGCAAAUGUUCGAUACUAAUGUCAUAAGUCUUAACAUUUGCAGCAGAGAAGCCAUAAAAAUCAUGGAGGAAACAGAAAUCAAAGAGGGCCACAUAAUAAAUAUUAACAGUAUUGUAGGUCAUUAUCUAUUUCCAUUUAUGAAGGAUAUUUCAGUUUAUAGCGCUACCAAACAUAGCGUUACUGCAAUUACAGAGUAUCUAAGAGAAUUGAUGGGCAUGAAAAAUUUACCAGUCAGAGUUACGAGUAUCAGUCCGGGUGCAGUAGAAACUGAAAUGACUCAAGAAAUGUCUCAAUUAAAAAAAAUGAAUAUAUUGAAAUCUAUUGACAUCGCUGAAGCUAUUAUGUAUGCUUUGGGUGCACCACAGCGUGUUAACGUCGCUGAGAUCAUCAUCAGACCAACAAACGAGAAUACAUUAGGUUUUAUCAAGAGCUUCACAUAAAUAUGGAUUAUGAUUGAUAGAUAUCUAUACACGUCUCAAGUUUAAGUAAUACACAAGAAGCUCUUAUUGUUACAACUGAAACUUUUCCAUUUCCGCUUUAAAAUUGUAAAAGUAUAAGAACAGUGCUGAUCGAUGUCCAAAUAUAACAACUGAAACGUCAUUCUGAAUAGCCAAAGUUAUAUGCUUAUUGCGUAAAAUCCGCUGUAUAGAGGACGGAAAACGCGUUUCUCAGAAAAAAAGUAUAUUUUUUACUAUCGGAUGGACGGAAAAGGAGAGCCAUCAACUCAUCAUGUUCCAAUACGCUUCAUAGCAG